AAGCCUGCCAUUAAAAAACGCCUCACAAAAUGAGCUUUUCGCCCAUUCCUAGAUUUUUAAUUUUUUUUUUUUUUUAAAUAAUAGAGCAAUUGAAACUUUAUUACACGAACAGUUUAAUAAAUUGCCAUAUGUGAUUUCUUAUUAGACUGGAUGAGUUGACCAUAUCUCCUGGGAAAAGAUGUUUGCAGCGCGGACCAGGCUGAAAUGUCUGCAUCUUCACAAUUCUAUGAUCAGAGAUUUCCUUUGUCGCCAUUUUUGUACACCAGCAUCGGGGCUGUAUAAGUCCUGUUGUGUUAAAGAGAAAGAGAGAUGUGACCAGUGGAAAAGCAGAGAUUUUCAAAUCGAAGGGAGUUAGACUCUUGUCUUCCCAGAUGGCGGAGAGAUUUGUAAGACGAUUCAUCAACUCCAAUUCUUAUGUCAAAUGUUUUAAAGAUUUGAAUAAAGUUCACCUUAAUUUCA
This is a long non-coding RNA of Ictalurus punctatus (channel catfish), 459 nucleotides long. RefSeq lists it as uncharacterized. NCBI's taxonomy places the organism in Eukaryota, Metazoa, Chordata, Actinopteri, Siluriformes, Ictaluridae. The transcript is spliced from 3 exons. The record is from RefSeq and is a predicted model, not a curated record.